Molecule: long non-coding RNA, 774 nt
Organism: Eriocheir sinensis (Chinese mitten crab)
Lineage: Eukaryota; Metazoa; Arthropoda; Malacostraca; Decapoda; Varunidae
Exons: 2
Source: RefSeq, a predicted model, not a curated record
UUUCAUGUCAGAAUCUUUAUUGUAGACUUUCCUGUUUACAUGUUAUUUGUGGAAUAGUUACCAUUUAUGUGUCUACAUCACAACUUGUGAAGUUGAUGCACAGAGUGAUAGGCUAAUAACAUGGAGUACGAUUUGUAAGUGAGUGCCAGGUUAAAUAAGAGUAACAGUGAGACUUUGACAUUUUUACCAAAUUAGCACCAAAAUGUUAUAGAGUGAUGCCCAUACUGAAGAAUUCAGCCAGGUUUACAGUUGUUGACACUUAGAGAGGGGAACCUGUCAUGCAGGCCAGGGAUUGAAAGUUGUGCGCCCGGCACCGUCUCGUUGUAGACUGACUUGGUCUCACUCCCAGGUAAAGGGGCUCUCACACAUUCCCGGUCCCGGUCGCGACCGUCCCCGAUGACUCCCGAUAAGCCGAUCGGGGCCUGACCGCCGACAAAAUAGGCAAUAAUCCCCGGACCGGCGGCUUACCGCCGGUCUGCCUGCGGUAGACCGGCGGCUUACCGCCGGUAAGCCGGCGGUUUACCGGCGGUAGACCGGCGACCAUAUACGAUUUUCGAUUUCUCCGACCGGCGACUGCAGCAGGUCAGUCGGCGGUAGACCGCCGGCCUACCGGCGGCAGACCUGAUACACAUCGACGACCAAACACUUUCUUUGCAUUUUCAUAUAUUUAUAAUUACCUCAUAAAUAGCUUCAUACCUAAAUUCAUUCGUGUGCAUAAAACUCUCUCUCUCUCUCUCUCUCUCUCUCUCUCUCUCUCUCUCUCUCUCUCUCUCU